Molecule: ribosomal RNA, 360 nt
Filed under: Salix polaris
Lineage: Eukaryota; Viridiplantae; Streptophyta; Magnoliopsida; Malpighiales; Salicaceae
Description: eukaryotic LSU rRNA
Rfam family: 5.8S ribosomal RNA (bases 1-107)
Source: RNAcentral
GAAAUGCGAUACUUGGUGUGAAUUGCAGAAUCCCGUGAACCAUCGAGUCUUUGAACGCAAGUUGCGCCCGAGGCCUCCUGGUCGAGGGCACGUCUGCCUGGGUGUCACGCAUCGUCGCCCCCACUCCCCUCGGCUCACGAGGGCGGGGGCGGAUACUGGUCUCCCGCGCGCUCCCGCCCGUGGUUGGCCUAAAAUCGAGUCCUCGGCGACGGUCGCCACGACAAGCGGUGGUUGAGAGACCCUCGGACACGGUCGUGCGCGUGCCUGUCGCCCCCGGGACCUCCCGGACCCCCGAGCAUUGGCUUUCAAGGAUGCUCUCGUUGCGACCCCAGGUCAGGCGGGACUACCCGCUGAGUUUAA